UGACUGGAGUCUCAGACCAGUGCUCUUUUGAGGCCUUGUAAUUGGAAUGAGUACACUUUAAAUGAUUUAACGAGGAUCAAUUGGAGGGCGAGUCUGGUGCCAGCAGCCGCGGUAAUUCCAGCUCCAAUAGUGGAUCUUAAAGUUGCUGCAGUU
This is a long non-coding RNA of Sebastes umbrosus (honeycomb rockfish), 153 nucleotides long. RefSeq lists it as uncharacterized. The transcript is spliced from 3 exons. The record is from RefSeq and is a predicted model, not a curated record. Lineage: Eukaryota; Metazoa; Chordata; Actinopteri; Perciformes; Sebastidae.